This 657-nucleotide ribosomal RNA is filed under the name Streptococcus suis. RNAcentral's name for it is "bacterial SSU rRNA". It matches the Rfam family "Bacterial small subunit ribosomal RNA", at positions 1 to 647 of the family's 1533-position model. Lineage: Bacteria; Bacillati; Bacillota; Bacilli; Lactobacillales; Streptococcaceae. The record is from RNAcentral.
AAAUUGAAGAGUUUGAUCAUGGCUCAGAUUGAACGCUGGCGGCAGGCCUAACACAUGCAAGUCGAACGGUAACAGGAAGCAGCUUGCUGCUUCGCUGACGAGUGGCGGACGGGUGAGUAAUGUCUGGGAAACUGCCUGAUGGAGGGGGAUAACUACUGGAAACGGUAGCUAAUCCCGCAUAACGUCGCAAGACCAAAGAGGGGGACCUUCGGGCCUCUUGCCAUCGGAUGUGCCCAGAUGGGAUUAGCUAGUAGGUGGGGUAACGGCUCACCUAGGCGACGAUCCCUAGCUGGUCUGAGAGGAUGACCAGCCACACUGGAACUGAGACACGGUCCAGACUCCUACGGGAGGCAGCAGUGGGGAAUAUUGCACAAUGGGCGCAAGCCUGAUGCAGCCAUGCCGCGUGUAUGAAGAAGGCCUUCGGGUUGUAAAGUACUUUCAGCGGGGAGGAAGGCGACAGGGUUAAUAACCCUGUCGAUUGACGUUACCCGCAGAAGAAGCACCGGCUAACUCCGUGCCAGCAGCCGCGGUAAUACGGAGGGUGCAAGCGUUAAUCGGAAUUACUGGGCGUAAAGCGCACGCAGGCGGUCUGUCAAGUCGGAUGUGAAAUCCCCGGGCUCAACCUGGGAACUGCAUUCGAAACUGGCAGGCUAGAGU